Molecule: ribosomal RNA, 669 nt
Filed under: Lactiplantibacillus plantarum
Lineage: Bacteria; Bacillati; Bacillota; Bacilli; Lactobacillales; Lactobacillaceae
Description: bacterial SSU rRNA
Rfam family: Bacterial small subunit ribosomal RNA
Source: RNAcentral
AGUGCAGAAGAGGACAGUGGAACUCCAUGUGUAGCGGUGAAAUGCGUAGAUAUAUGGAAGAACACCAGUGGCGAAGGCGGCUGUCUGGUCUGUAACUGACGCUGAGGCUCGAAAGUAUGGGUAGCAAACAGGAUUAGAUACCCUGGUAGUCCAUACCGUAAACGAUGAAUGCUAAGUGUUGGAGGGUUUCCGCCCUUCAGUGCUGCAGCUAACGCAUUAAGCAUUCCGCCUGGGGAGUACGGCCGCAAGGNUGAAACUCAAAGGAAUUGACGGGGGCCCGCACAAGCGGUGGAGCAUGUGGUUUAAUUCGAAGCUACGCGAAGAACCUUACCAGGUCUUGACAUNCUAUGCANAUUUAAGAGAUUNGACGUUCCCUUCGGGGACAUNGAUACAGGUGGUGCAUGGUUGUCGUCAGCUCGUGUCGUGAGAUGUUGGGUUAAGUCCCGCAACGAGCGCAACCCUUAUUAUCAGUUGCCAGCAUUAAGUUGGGCACUCUGGNGAGACUGCCGGUGACAAACCGGAGGAAGGUGGGGAUGACGUCAAAUCAUCAUGCCCCUUAUGACCUGGGCUACACACGUGCUACAAUGGAUGGUACAACGAGUUGCGAACUCGCGAGAGUAAGCUAAUCUCUUAAAGCCAUUCUCAGUUCGGAUUGUAGGCUGCAACUCG